RNAcentral lists this unclassified non-coding RNA (235 nucleotides) under uncultured fungus. RNAcentral describes it as "sequence contains ITS1, 5.8S rRNA gene". The stretch from base 187 to 235 matches the Rfam family "5.8S ribosomal RNA", at positions 1 to 49 of the family's 154-position model. Lineage: Eukaryota; Fungi. The record is from RNAcentral.
UCUCCGUAGGUGAACCUGCGGAGGGAUCAUUACCGAGUGAGGGGGCCCCGCGCCCCCGACCUCCCAACCCUUUGUUUCAACCCACUCUGUUGCCUCGGGGGGCGACCCGGCCCUCGUGCCGGGCGACCCCGGAGGUCCAUCAAACUCUGCAUCCUUGCGUCGGAGUAUUGAAAGCAAAUCAAUCAAAACUUUUAACAACGGAUCUCUUGGUUCUGGCAUCGAUGAAGAACGCAGC